This 303-nucleotide ribosomal RNA is filed under the name uncultured bacterium. Its description in RNAcentral is "partial 16S ribosomal RNA". It matches the Rfam family "Bacterial small subunit ribosomal RNA", at positions 507 to 807 of the family's 1533-position model. The record is from RNAcentral.
AGCAGUCGCCGCGGUAAUACGUAGGGUGCAAGCGUUAAUCGGAAUUACUGGGCGUAAAGCGUGCGCAGGCGGUUAUUCAAGACAGAUGUGAAAUCCCCGGGCUCAACCUGGGAACUGCAUUUGUGACUGGAUGACUAGAGUACGGCAGAGGGGGAUGGAAUUCCGCGUGUAGCAGUGAAAUGCGUAGAUAUGCGGAGGAACACCGAUGGCGAAGGCGAUCCCCUGGGCCUGUACUGACGCUCAUGCACGAAAGCGUGGGGAGCAAACAGGAUUAGAUACCCCAGUAGUCCCUGUCUCUUAUAC